This is a long non-coding RNA of Cyprinus carpio (common carp), 1588 nucleotides long. NCBI's taxonomy places the organism in Eukaryota, Metazoa, Chordata, Actinopteri, Cypriniformes, Cyprinidae. The record is from Ensembl.
AUUUUACUCUUUCCAUUAUCCUGAGCCUGUUUUCCUGAAACCUAAUGACUAACAACCUAUCCUAUAUCACUUACCACUCAAAAAUAAUCAUAAAAUACCAGUAUGCUCUUCAUUUAAACAAAUUAUAAUUUUAAAAUAAUUAUUAAAAAUAUGGUGUAUAUCUAGAAAGAACUAGUGUCAAAGUUUGUGGUCUUAAUUUGUCAAACAAUAACCACUAGAUCCCCAGCCUACCCUUUACCUAUUAAAACACACACACACACACACACACACACACACACANCACAGAUACUCAGAUGAUGUCUUCAGCCCAGAGGCAUCCACCUGCCCUCAUUCUGGAUGCACUGAUUGGUUCUCACAGAGCAGGUAUACUUGCACCGUACCACAAAAGAUUUCAGAUUCUCUCCAUAUUAGCAAGUGUAUGUCUCAUAACUUACCUGUAACUUAUUAGCACCUUACACAUCAAAUCAGAGAUGCAUCUUCCAGGGACACUGUGCAUCUUUGUAACGCUAUUUUCAGUGACACAGGUAAAAGAAGCUUCUGCAAGCUGUAACAUAACAUCAGUAUCAUCACCAACUGCAUCAUCUCUCCUUGUAAAAUGGAACUAUUUUACAGGAGCGACAAACUAUAUUCUGGAUGUCAGGGCUGUGAAUGCCAACAACACAGCACCUAUCACUAUUACACUCCCUGUGUCCACUGUGGAGCGACUGGUCCAAGGCUUAAGACCGGGACAAAUUUAUCUAGUGACUUUUAAAGUGUUUGUGCUCGAUUAUGUAGCAUGCAUCGACUCCCAGACAGCACAGACAAGUAAGUAAUUGACCCACACAGAUCUUAUUCAAUUUCUGAACUUGUUACAUUUUUAAUUAAAUUAAUUUCAUUUGUGCGUGCAGUUCCUGCCACCUCACAAAUAACAUAUUCAAAGGCAAUAUCAAGCACCUCGAUCAGGUUUGAGUGGGCCAGUGCGCAAGGAGCUGACAAAUACAUUUUGGUGGUGAAUGGAACUUUCCAUCCUGAGACUCAUAACCUCACAUUCACCUCGCUAAGUGGACAGAUAGACAACCUCCAGCAAGCCACCUCGUACAGCUGUUACAUUUAUUCUGCCAAUUCCGCAGGACUUGGCGCCAAGAGCCUUGUCAGAACCAUCAGAACAUUGGUGCAGCCACCAGAUAAUGUGGCUGUGAGUGAGUUAACGCAGAGCACGGCUCGCGUAACAUGGAACACCGUCUCAGGUGUCCUGCUUUACCAGCUUUCAGUGAUGGCCAAUAACAAGCCGGGAUUUCCCCCGGUUCUUAAGAACGUCACUGGUACCGCUGUGAAUAUCUUAAACCUGGAGCCGUGUACAACAUACACAAUAGGGGUUGCAUCUAUCAACAUGUUCCUUGAACCAGGAGAGUUCAAUAAUGUCACCUACACAACUUCCAGUAAGUCAAGAAGAAAUAGAACAUUUCAGAGUGAAACCUUUGAAUGAAAUCAUAAAGCAGUAGAUUUAUGCCUUGAUGUGUUUCGGAUGCUUCUAGACUUGCAUAACCAAGACUUCCUUUAAAAAAAAAAGGCCAGAUUCUAGUCCAGAAUAAAUACUAAGCAUAAACCA